RNAcentral lists this ribosomal RNA (752 nucleotides) under uncultured Methanosaeta sp. RNAcentral's name for it is "bacterial SSU rRNA". It matches the Rfam family "Archaeal small subunit ribosomal RNA", at positions 144 to 897 of the family's 1478-position model. The record is from RNAcentral. Lineage: Archaea; Methanobacteriati; Methanobacteriota; Methanomicrobia; Methanotrichales; Methanotrichaceae.
GGGUAUAUACCGAUAGGUCUCGAUUGCUGGAAUGCAUCGAGAUUUAAAGCUCCGGCGCCUAAGGAUGGGUCUGCGGCCUAUCAGGUAGUAGUGGGUGUAGCGUACCUACUAGCCUACGACGGGUACGGGUUGUGAGAGCAAGAGCCCGGAGAUGGAUUCUGAGACACGAAUCCAGGCCCUACGGGGUGCAGCAGGCGCGAAAACUUUACAAUGCUGGCAACAGCGAUAAGGGAACCUCGAGUGCCAGGUUACAAAUCUGGCUGUCGAGAUGCCUAAAAAGCAUUUCAUAGCAAGGGCCGGGCAAGACCGGUGCCAGCCGCCGCGGUAACACCGGCGGCUCGAGUGGUAACCGUUAUUAUUGGGUCUAAAGGGUCUGUAGCCGGCCGGAUAAGUCUCUUGAGAAAUCUGGCAGCUUAACUGUCAGGCUUUCAGGAGAUACUGUCUGGCUCGAGGCCGGGAGAGGUGAGAGGUACUUCAGGGGUAGGGGUGAAAUCUUGUAAUCCUUGAAGGACCACCAGUGGCGAAGGCGUCUCACCAGAACGGACCUGACGGCAAGGGACGAAAGCUAGGGGCACGAACCGGAUUAGAUACCCGGGUAGUCCUAGCCGUAAACGAUACUCGCUAGGUGUCGGCCACGGUGCGACCGUUGUCGGUGCCGUAGGGAAGCCGUGAAGCGAGCCACCUGGGAAGUACGGCCGCAAGGCUGAAACUUAAAGGAAUUGGCGGGGGAGCACCACAACGGGUGGAGCUUG